This 253-nucleotide ribosomal RNA is filed under the name uncultured bacterium. RNAcentral describes it as "partial 16S ribosomal RNA". It matches the Rfam family "Bacterial small subunit ribosomal RNA", at positions 524 to 776 of the family's 1533-position model. The record is from RNAcentral.
UACAGAGGGUGCGAGCGUUAAUCGGAAUUACUGGGCGUAAAGCGUGCGUAGGCGGUAAGAGAAGUUGAUUGUGAAAGCCCUGGGCUCAACCUGGGAACUGCAGUCAAAACUCUCUUACUAGAGUACAGUAGAGGUAAGUGGAAUUUCCGGUGUAGCGGUGAAAUGCGUAGAUAUCGGAAGGAACACCAGUGGCGAAGGCGACUUACUGGACUGAUACUGACGCUGAGGCACGAAAGCGUGGGGAGCAAACAGG